This 114-nucleotide ribosomal RNA is filed under the name Propithecus coquereli (Coquerel's sifaka). The record is from RNAcentral. Lineage: Eukaryota; Metazoa; Chordata; Mammalia; Primates; Indriidae.
AUCUACAGUCAUAUCACCCUGCAUGCGCCCAAUCUCAUCUGAUUUCGGAAGCUAAGCAUGGUUGGGCCUGGUUAGUACUUGGAUGGGAAAGGAGUCCCCCUGUCAGGGAAGAGG